Molecule: long non-coding RNA, 2940 nt
Filed under: Homo sapiens (human)
Lineage: Eukaryota; Metazoa; Chordata; Mammalia; Primates; Hominidae
Description: HSALNT0223393
Source: RNAcentral
CUUGGACAAAACAUUUAUUUAGGAUAUUUCAGUAAGAAGCCAAUAUGGGUCUUUCAGCUUAUGUAAAUAUCUCUCUUAUCUGCUGACAAAGAAUGAAACAAAGACCAUCUGAGGCAAAAGAAACACAAGUAAAAACCACUGAAGCUGGUUACUAACUUGUCAGGCAAGGGAGCACAACCAGUGUUUCCCCUUGUAGGGGGAAGUCAGGGUUGUUUAAGGGCUAGAAAGGAGACACUGGUGAUGGUUAUGCUAAGCACUGAAAACUAGUGCUCCAGAUAGAAAGGAACUGGUUAAAACAAUCCUCACUCUUCACAGGGGUUAGAAAACAGUCUUCUGUUUGGUCCAAUGUGGGUCUGGUAUCUGGGGUCCUUCACAGUGCAAGGUUCUUAAACAUCUGCAGUUGGUUAGAACUGUCGUAGUGAAAACAAGCAUUCCUUUUUGAUACCUCAUAGGCAAGUGCUGUUAAGUAGAACAUUUCCUUUUACACUGCAUGACACUUAACGCAAAUAUUUCCACACUGGGUCGGACCAAGGGUUCACAGUGAUAGAGUCACACAAGUACAGUGACAGCCCCUCACUCCAGACAUUGAUAAGAGCACGUUAAAUAUCACUAUGGUUUUGUGAGCCGGAGAAAUGUCACUCUCACUACACUACAUUCUGUCUUCUUUCCAUCCUUGUUCCAUUCACCCUCUGUAGGUGACCAGUCUCUUUCAUUUCUGGUUUAUCCUUACUGCAUUUCUUUUGCACAAAUGUGCAGAUACAUGUACACUUUCUCAUGUCCUCUUCUUUCUUCUAUGAAGAGCUGUUUACUGUAGACACUCUUGGGCUUUGCUUACUUCACUGAACACUAUGUCCUGGAAUUCACUCCAUAUUCAUUCAUACAGCUCUUCCUCAAUUCUUUUUUAUAACUGCACACUGCUUCAUCUUAUUGAUGUGCCAUGAUUUAUUCAACCACUAAAUACUGGACGUUUAGGUGUUUCCAAUAUUUUGCAAUGAGAAACAAUGCUGCAAUGAAUAACCUUGUGCAUAUGUGUUUUAUUAUCAUCAGAAGUGCGUUUUCGGAGUGGAUCCCUAGAAGUGGGAUUGCUGGGUCAAAAGGUCAGGCAUGGCAGGCGUACAGCACAGGAACUGAGAGAACCUGCUCCUGUAUCCAUGGCAGGCAUCACAGAUUGAUCAUGGACAUUUUCCCACUAGUUACAGAAGCAGAUCCUAAACAGUUAAUCAAAACAUAUCAUGAAAUCAAACCUACUUGUCAUUAAAAAUAUUUAGUGUUUUAAUAUAAAGUUGUAUAAAUUCUCUCAAUAAUAAUUAGGUUAAAAUUUUAAGUAGUGAUAUUGGUAAACCUGGGUACCUUCUGGUGAGGUACUGCAGGGGGUAUAACUGGGAGAUGCCAAGAGGAAUUUAGUCGCCAUUCACCAAAAUUCCUGCUGUGUUCUAAGUUCUGUGUUCAGGAGUUUAAAUAAUAUGGUCCUUGUCCUCUUGGACUGCCAGGUAAGCAGAGGAGACAAACAGAUGCAAAAAUGGCCAUAAUACAACGCAGGAAGUGAGAAAGUCCAUACAAACCAAGUGGCUGAGAAGCUGGUGGCAGAACUGGUGAAGGUUCCUUGGAGCAGGACUCAUCAGAAUUGGCCUUUGUACAUUUGGUGGGACCAGCAGAGCCUGCGAAAAGAGUGCUCUGGGCUGAGGAUGAAAGAGUGCUCUAGGUUUAAGGGGGAGGGAGGGGCAAUGUCAUGUAAUGAUGGCUCUGGCACAGUCACACUGAACAUCACCCUGAGGCCACCAGCUUGAGGCUUUGAGCACCCCUGCAGUCAGGUCAGGGCAGAGGCUCCUCCAUAGCCUGUCAUGUAAGAUAAAUGACCACAAAAGCACUUCAUUCAUCUGGAAAUUACCCCUUUACAAAUCUCAGCUGACAGGAACAAGGUCUCUGUGCAGCCGUGACAGAUGCCCCAAAGGCCAAGCACUAAAACCUAGGAUGCUUCACUCAGGAAAGUCAGCUGGUUCCUGACUCACAGCCUGUUUUGCUUCCUUUUACCCAUGAUGCUGAUACAGGAGUUAAGAAGAAAUUAUUUAGGCAGAUAGUGGGGGUAAGGAAGUCCUCGGUAAGGUUUUCCUUUAAUGAAAAGCAGCUCCCAAAUCAUUUUCUUUUCUAACAAAGAACAGCUUGUAAAAUUGAGCUGCAGACAUAGACAAGGAAGCUGGAAGCUUGCACGGGUGAAUAUCAGCAGCUGUGUCAAUACGAAAAGGGUACCUGGGGGCUACACAUGUCCAAUAGGGUGGCUCCAUCUUCCCCUUUCCUUGUCAACCAGGUGCACAGUAAGGGGCAGGCAACAUCGCACUGGCCAAGUAGAGAUCCCAUUUGCAUAAUAAAAGAUUAGGGUGGGGUGGCCAGAUUCCUGGCAAGCUAUGUAAACGUCACACCUGGUCCAACCAAUCUUCAGGCCUUGUGUAAAUCAGACCCUGGCUCCUCAAGCCUGUCUAUAAAACCCUGUGCACUCUGCUGGUCCCACUCGGGCACCCCUGUCUCACAGGAGAGAGAACUGUUCUCCUUUCUCUUUCUUUUGCCUGUUAAACCUCUGCUCUUAACCUCACUCCACGUGCCUCUGUGUCCUUGAUUCCUCAGCAUGAGGCAACGAACCUCGGGUAUUUACCCCAGACAACCAUGCUGCUUCAAUGCCAGCAAGUUGUGCUGUUUGGUUUUCUAGACCAUAAUAAAAGGAUGUGAUUGGAUUGGGUCGGUGUAAAAGCAGACAUGCAGAGAGAAACAAGAAGUGUCAGCUACCAGCAGGAGAUUUGUAGGAGCAUUGUGACCUGACCAAGCACAAAAAAGUUCCCAACCUCAUUGGAUCCUUGCUCCCAGAUGUCUGCGGUAGUCCAUUAUCUCUUGAUCCUACCCACCUCCUCUUCCUCCUGCCCUGAAUGUAGAAAGAGCCUAAAAUUUGUA